UGUGAACAGAUCAGGUGGGAUUGGUGUAACUUAGGGGGCGUUUACACGACAACAAUCCAACAAAAACAGAAGUUUUGUUCCGUUUUUGUUGGAUCGUUUACACGAAAACGUUCUAAUUACGAUCUGUGUUUACACAGUAAUGGUACAAAUCGAAAACGUGUAAUGCUUGCUGCGCCUAGUUGGUGCUAGGUUCUUUGAAACUGAGUGCGCAUGUGUUUAAAAAAAAGUUCUACUUGAAGGCAUGUUGAUUCGCGUUUCCCUAUCAGGUACCGUUCUCCCAUAGAUUGGGAGAAAACACGCAUUGUGUGCGUCUGAUUAGGGUGCAUGCAGUUGGAAAAAGUGGGAUAACUUCGCUGAAACACCUUGUUUGAGCUUUCACGGUGUCCGUAGCGGGCCCCGGACUGGAAGCUGUUUAUUGUUUUUACCUUGGAAUGGCCAACAGCCUGUUAUUCCUUUAUCAAUUUGAUAAAAUAGGAGCUCCUGCCCUUCCCAUAUCCGUGUCCUCUGUCACCUUUUUCAGCAGUUAAAACAGUUUAAUAUGUUGCU
Long non-coding RNA from Poecilia latipinna (sailfin molly), 546 nucleotides. RefSeq lists it as uncharacterized. NCBI's taxonomy places the organism in Eukaryota, Metazoa, Chordata, Actinopteri, Cyprinodontiformes, Poeciliidae. The record is from RefSeq and is a predicted model, not a curated record. The transcript has 3 exons.